AAAAAAAAAAGUGAGAGAAAUCGCCAGCACGGCACACCGUACGGCCGUGUAUAAACGUAUAGCCAUCACGGAGAGACGCAUACAUAAUCCUCGUCGCCGCGCGUACAUUAUGGCAAUGGCUAUUUUAUCGUGACAAUUAAUAUACAAUAUGUCAUCGGGGUUAUUCGAACGCGCGCUUCCGUGCCUGCAAAAAUUAAUACUCUGAAUAAACUUCGGGCUCGUGCAGUAACAGGCUGCAGGUGAGGAGAAUUAUCGACGACAUACCUAGUGAAGAGAAGCCAUGUACACACCUAUAUGGUCUCUCUCUUGCAGCGACUGCGACUAGUCAACUUCGACAGGUGUCCUUGGUCGAAGUCCGUUGGAGUCGCACUGUAAAUUAUUUAUCAGUACUUGAUGUAGCUCUGACACAGGGAGCAGCAUUCAUUCAUCCUCUACGUCGUCACAGCUCUCUUCUCUUCUCCGUGGAUCAGACCUGCAGCUGUUGCAGACAGACGGAGGCGGUGCCCCGCCUCGUACAUAUUAGGAAAAACGACUCAUUCUCAUCAUAUUUUCCUGUGAAUAGUACUUGUUUUUCCAACAUAAAAAGAAGGAAUUAACACACACACACAUACUGUUCUUGUUCUUGUUGUUGAGAAAAAAAAAAAAAAAGAAAAAAAAAAAA
Molecule: long non-coding RNA, 661 nt
Organism: Copidosoma floridanum
Lineage: Eukaryota; Metazoa; Arthropoda; Insecta; Hymenoptera; Encyrtidae
Source: RefSeq, a predicted model, not a curated record